GCCACAUUCUGGUCUUGGUUUCACCUGUGCAGACCACUUGUCUUCAGUGCCUGAAAUGUUUUCCAGCUAUUCAUGUAAAUAAAUGGCUAGGACGCACAUGCUGGCCUAGAAACCCGACUCACAUAUAUUGGGACAAAUCCUCCAAGACCUCCAUGCAGAACUCCACCCAAAUUGCUAGAGACCUCCACAUGGUGAUGUGUGUGUGGCCUUCGUCCAUCCACUUCAUUUGUUUUCCUUCUUUAAGUGGCACGAUAAUACCUACCACACUGACGUGUUGUGAGGCUUCAUGUUUGUAAAAUACUUUGAGACGUCAGUAAAAGGCUCCAUAUGAACAGCUGCCCAAGCCAUAUGUUCCAGAUGAUACUGGUUACUCAUUCGGUAUCGAUCCAAAGGCACA
This is a long non-coding RNA of Mauremys mutica (yellowpond turtle), 397 nucleotides long. RefSeq lists it as uncharacterized. The record is from RefSeq and is a predicted model, not a curated record. NCBI's taxonomy places the organism in Eukaryota, Metazoa, Chordata, Testudines, Geoemydidae. The transcript has 3 exons.